RNAcentral lists this ribosomal RNA (500 nucleotides) under uncultured bacterium. Its description in RNAcentral is "partial 16S ribosomal RNA". It matches the Rfam family "Bacterial small subunit ribosomal RNA", at positions 30 to 523 of the family's 1533-position model. The record is from RNAcentral.
AUUGAACGCUGGCGGAAUGCUUUACACAUGCAAGUCGAACGGCAGCACGGACUUCGGUCUGGUGGCGAGUGGCGAACGGGUGAGUAAUGUAUCGGAACGUGCCCAGUCGUGGGGGAUAACGUAGUGAAAAUUACGCUAAUACCGCAUACGAUCUAUGGAUGAAAGCGGGGGAUCGCAUGACCUCGCGCGAUUGGAGCGGCAGAUAUCAGAUUAGGUAGUUGGUGGGGUAAAGGCCCACCAAGCCAACGAUCUGUACCUGGUAUGAGAGGACGACCAGCCACACUAGAACUGAGACACGUUCCGGACUCCUACGGGAGGCAGCAGUGGGGAAUUUUGGACAAGGGGCGAAAGCCUGUUCCAGCCAUUCCGCGUGCAGGAUGAAGGCCCUCGGGUUGUAAACUGCUUUUGUACAGAACGAAAAGGUUUCUACUAAUACUAGGAGCUCAUGACGGUACUGUAAGAAUAAGCACCGGCUAACUACGUGCCAGCCGCCGCCGUAA